RNAcentral lists this ribosomal RNA (313 nucleotides) under uncultured bacterium. Its description in RNAcentral is "bacterial SSU rRNA". It matches the Rfam family "Bacterial small subunit ribosomal RNA", at positions 28 to 337 of the family's 1533-position model. The record is from RNAcentral.
GAUGAACGCUAGCGGCAGGCUUAACACAUGCAAGUCGAGGGGCAGCACUUGUAGCAAUACAUGGUGGCGACCGGCGCAAGGGUGCGUAACGCGUGAGCAACAUGCCCGUAUCAGGGGGAUAAUCCAGGGAAACUUGGUCUAAUACCCCAUAGCAAUUAUUUGAGGCAUCUUAAAUAAUUUAAAGCUUUGGUGGAUACGGAUUGGCUCGCGUGACAUUAGCUAGAUGGUAAGGUAACGGGCUUACCCAUGGCUACGAUGUCUAGGGGUUCUGAGAGGAAGAUCCCCACACUGGAACUGAGACACGGUCCAGACU